Molecule: non-coding RNA, 223 nt
Organism: Pelobates cultripes (western spadefoot toad)
Lineage: Eukaryota; Metazoa; Chordata; Amphibia; Anura; Pelobatidae
Source: the annotation of a GenBank genome assembly
UAAAUGUAGGGGUGUGUUUGUAUGUGGUUUUGUUGUUUGAAUACAAGCAUGCAUCUAUGUGUAGUUUUUUUUAAUGCUGGGGUGUGUUUAGAUAUAUUUUUGGUGUUUAACACAAAGGUGUGUUUGUAUGUAUUGUUGACGUUUCAAUGCAGGACUGUGUUUGUAUGUAGUAUUGAAGGUUGAAUGCAGGGGUGUACUUGUGUGUAGUGUUAGCGAUUUGAAU